AGAUUGACUAUAUUAGACUGGAUUGUUGGAGUGAAACAUUCCAUUUCCAAACAGGCAACCUGGAAGAAGUUCUGAAGUCUAAAGGCGUCAGUUUGCAACCCAACAGAUAAGAAAAGUCACUGCAAGGUUUCCAAUUUCUUCGUAGUUUCUGGAAAAAUUUAAAAAAUGAGCAUCAUUCCAUCAAUUCUGUGCAGGAUCUCUAUGAUCGUCUUUAUGGUUUUAAUAACUGCAUCGUUUAUCUCCGGAGUUUUUGGUCGUUUUAGUUCUGAAGGUGUCAGUCCAGAAUCUGCGCAGACAUUCCGAGAUGAAGUACUGCACCUUGGAGGUGGGAGCCCAGAAUCUGUGCAGAG
Molecule: long non-coding RNA, 350 nt
Organism: Styela clava
Lineage: Eukaryota; Metazoa; Chordata; Ascidiacea; Stolidobranchia; Styelidae
Source: RefSeq, a predicted model, not a curated record